Molecule: long non-coding RNA, 865 nt
Organism: Actinia tenebrosa (Australian red waratah sea anemone)
Lineage: Eukaryota; Metazoa; Cnidaria; Anthozoa; Actiniaria; Actiniidae
Source: RefSeq, a predicted model, not a curated record
CCCCGCGGACCUGAAUAGUAACUACUGUACGCUGUGAUAUAGAUUUGCGCGCCCAAAAAACACUGGCUUUAAUUUGUUCCUUUAGAAUCUACCAUGCAACAGGCCUUCGAAAUAAUACGAAAUUAGCUUUUUUGGUGUUAUUUUAUUACUAAGAAUCUCUGCUGGAGUUUCCACAGAAAAGUUCUGGAAGGUAAUUCAAUGCGACGUGGAAAUGAUAAUGCCAAAAAAUUGGAUGCGUCGAUACUUGGUUUUGAAGAUUUCUGACGAAGGAUGAAAUACUGAUGAAACUUUACUCGAAGAAGAAAAAGCUGAAGCACGAUACCGCCGAGAGCGCACGGAUAACACUGUACUUACAGCAGGAUGAUCUUCGCCUAGAGUCUUUUCUCGUAUCGUCAAAGCAUCGUGAAGGAGAUUGGCUGCUUCUUUGUACUUGUUCUGGUCUCUGUGAGAAAGCUUCCAUCUUCUCUGUCAACUUAUCAUGUUGAUUACAAAUAAUACCAGAAAUGACAGACAAAUCUGUCUCCGAGACAGGUCCGUGUGAAGCAACGCUAUCGAAAAACUCCUUGAUUUCUGCGUCAUCUUCGAUAACGUGCCGAAUGGGAUACAUAAGGAAGUUUAUAAUAUCUCCCAGGACAGCCUUUGGGAGGUUCACUGCUGGGUGAACUAUGUUAAAUCUGAUGAAAAAAUAUUGGCGCUAAGUCAUGUGACCAGAGUGACAAAGUUACAAUACAACUGAUGUAAACGAAAAAUGAAUGAAAGUAACUGCUUUUAUUGGAACCUUAUCUUAAUUGUUAUCCCAUUCCUCUUGUUGCGAAAAAGACUCAAAAUAAAAUAAAUGAAUAAAAAGUCACUGUCUUUGAUUGGA